RNAcentral lists this ribosomal RNA (851 nucleotides) under uncultured Bacteroidota bacterium. RNAcentral describes it as "bacterial SSU rRNA". It matches the Rfam family "Bacterial small subunit ribosomal RNA", at positions 1 to 845 of the family's 1533-position model. Lineage: Bacteria; Pseudomonadati; Bacteroidota. The record is from RNAcentral.
GGAUCCAGACUUUGAUUAUGGCUCAGGAUGAACGCUAGCUACAGGCUUAACACAUGCAAGUCGAGGGGCAGCGGGAUUGAAGCUUGCUUCAAUUGCCGGCGACCGGCGCACGGGUGAGUAACGCGUAUCCAACCUUCCGUACACUCAGGGAUAGCCUUUCGAAAGAAAGAUUAAUACCUGAUGGUAUGAUGAGAUUGCAUGAUAGCAUCAUUAAAGAUUUAUCGGUGUACGAUGGGGAUGCGUUCCAUUAGGUAGUAGGCGGGGUAACGGCCCACCUAGCCAACGAUGGAUAGGGGUUCUGAGAGGAAGGUCCCCCACAUUGGAACUGAGACACGGUCCAAACUCCUACGGGAGGCAGCAGUGAGGAAUAUUGGUCAAUGGACGAGAGUCUGAACCAGCCAAGUAGCGUGAAGGAUGAAGGUCCUACGGAUUGUAAACUUCUUUUAUAGGGGAAUAAACCCUCCCACGUGUGGGAGCUUGUAUGUACCUUAUGAAUAAGCAUCGGCUAACUCCGUGCCAGCAGCCGCGGUAAUACGGAGGAUGCGAGCGUUAUCCGGAUUUAUUGGGUUUAAAGGGAGCGCAGACGGGUCGUUAAGUCAGCUGUGAAAGUUUGGGGCUCAACCUUAAAAUUGCAGUUGAUACUGGCGUCCUUGAGUGCGGUUGAGGUGUGCGGAAUUCGUGGUGUAGCGGUGAAAUGCUUAGAUAUCACGAAGAACUCCGAUUGCGAAGGCAGCACACUAAUCCGUAACUGACGUUCAUGCUCGAAAGUGUGGGUAUCAAACAGGAUUAGAUACCCUGGUAGUCCACACGGUAAACGAUGGAUACUCGCUGUUGGCGAUAUACUGUCAGCG